UACAGAGGGUGCAAGCGUUGUUCGGAAUUAUUGGGCGUAAAGCGCGUGUAGGCGGCUUUGCAAGUCGGGUGUGAAAGCCCUCAGCUCAACUGAGGAAGUGCGCCCGAAACUGCAGAGCUUGAGUACCAGAGAGGGUGGCGGAAUUCCCCAAGUAGAGGUGAAAUUCGUAGAUAUGGGGAGGAACACCGGUGGCGAAGGCGGCCACCUGGCUGGAUACUGACGCUGAGACGCGAAAGCGUGGGUAGCAAACAGG
RNAcentral lists this ribosomal RNA (253 nucleotides) under uncultured Corallococcus sp. RNAcentral's name for it is "partial 16S ribosomal RNA". It matches the Rfam family "Bacterial small subunit ribosomal RNA", at positions 524 to 776 of the family's 1533-position model. Lineage: Bacteria; Pseudomonadati; Myxococcota; Myxococcia; Myxococcales; Myxococcaceae. The record is from RNAcentral.